AAGCCAUCCAGAGCAGCUGAGAGACCCGGCUCGUUGACGCUGCAGCAACCCCCCGAAUUCGGGUGAGGGUGCUAAGGCCGGGACCGAUGGAGG
This 93-nucleotide non-coding RNA is filed under the name Bowdeniella nasicola. Its description in RNAcentral is "Actinomyces nasicola SAM-I sequence". It matches the Rfam family "SAM riboswitch aptamer (S box leader)". Rfam says of the family: The SAM riboswitch is found upstream of a number of genes which code for proteins involved in methionine or cysteine biosynthesis in Gram-positive bacteria. The SAM riboswitch acts at the level of transcription termination control. Lineage: Bacteria; Bacillati; Actinomycetota; Actinomycetes; Actinomycetales; Actinomycetaceae. The record is from Rfam by way of RNAcentral.